This 128-nucleotide small nucleolar RNA is filed under the name Bombyx mori (domestic silkworm). Its description in RNAcentral is "Bm_53". The record is from RNAcentral. Lineage: Eukaryota; Metazoa; Arthropoda; Insecta; Lepidoptera; Bombycidae.
ACUGCAUAUUUGCUCCAUGUUUUUUAUAACACAAAGAACAUGGGAUAACUAGAUGCACAAAAUAUGGCCAANAGCGUCGCUCCUUGCAUUUUCUCAAUGUUGGGAUGUACCGCCANGGAACAACACUU